GAUGAACGCUGGCGGCGUGCCUAAUACAUGCAAGUCGAGCGAACUGAUUAGAAGCUUGCUUCUAUGACGUUAGCGGCGGACGGGUGAGUAACACGUGGGCAACCUGCCUGUAAGACUGGGAUAACUUCGGGAAACCGAAGCUAAUACCGGAUAGGAUCUUCUCCUUCAUGGGAGAUGAUUGAAAGAUGGUUUCGGCUAUCACUUACAGAUGGGCCCGCGGUGCAUUAGCUAGUUGGUGAGGUAACGGCUAACCAAGGCAACGAUGCAUAGCCGACCUGGGAGGGGUAUGCGCCAGACUGGGACUGAGACACGGCCCAGACUCCUACGGGAGGCAGCAGUAGGGAAUCUUCCGCAAUGGACGAAAGUCUGACGGAGCAACGCCGCGUGAGUGAUGAAGGCUUUCGGGUCGUAAAACUCUGUUGUUAGGGAAGAACAAGUACGAGAGUAACUGCUCGUACCUUGACGGUACCUAACCAGAAAGCCACGGCUAACUACGUGCCAGCCGCCGCCGUAA
Molecule: ribosomal RNA, 514 nt
Filed under: uncultured bacterium
Lineage: Bacteria
Description: partial 16S ribosomal RNA
Rfam family: Bacterial small subunit ribosomal RNA
Source: RNAcentral